RNAcentral lists this ribosomal RNA (429 nucleotides) under uncultured prokaryote. RNAcentral describes it as "bacterial SSU rRNA". It matches the Rfam family "Bacterial small subunit ribosomal RNA", at positions 355 to 774 of the family's 1533-position model. The record is from RNAcentral.
UGGGGAAUAUUGGGCAAUGGGCGAAAGCCUGACCCAGCGACGCCGUGUGGGCGAUGAAGGCCUUCGGGUUGUAAAGCCCUGUGAGGUGGAAAGAAGGGUCCAGAGGUUAAUACCCUUUGGACUUUGACGGUACCACCAGAGGAAGCACCGGCUAACUCCGUGCCAGCAGCCGCGGUAAUACGGAGGGUGCAAGCGUUGUUCGGAUUUACUGGGCGUAAAGGGCGCGUAGGUGGUUGUGUAAGUCAGAUGUGAAAUCCUUAGGCUUAACCUGAGAACUGCAUCGGAUACUGCAUGACUCGAGUACAGCAGAGGGGAACGGAAUGCCGGGUGUAGAGGUGAAAUUCGUAGAUAUCAGGAGGAACACCGGUGGCGAAGGCGGUUUCCUGGGCUGAUACUGACACUGAGGCGCGAAAGCGUGGGGAGCAAACA